GGCCGCUGGUCCCUGUGGCCCAGGACUCUAAUGCACAGAGCAAACCUCUGAUUGGGUCUCUGGGGAUCCUUUCCUGAGAAACAGUCCCCUUCGCUCAAUGGCUGAGUCCUAGGCGCCGGCCUCACUACACCCCCAUCUCCCUGCCUGCUGCCUCCAGCAACCCUGGAAUCCGUGCGCGGCCGAGCCACACCCCCUUGGGCCUGGAGCGCGCGCCUCCAGCAGCCCCGGGCCACCUGCUAAGGUCACAAGAUUUUGCUUUGGCUGGCCCAUCAAAACCGCACGAGCAAAGAUUGCACCCUAACUCAGGACUCUUUCCCCAAUGGUCCAUAAAUUGAUUUUUCAGAGUUGUACCAUGGAUCAAGACUUGCUUUUGGGGCCAAAUAAUAUCCUGUUGCAUGGAUGCAUGGACGUCAUUUUCUGCUGGCUACCUUUGGAACAAGAGGUGGAACUCUCAGCUCCUCCUGCACCAUGCCUGCCUGGGUGCUGCCAUGCUCCCACCUUGAUGACAAUGGAUUGAACCUCUGAACCUGUAAGCCAGCUCCAAUUAAAUGUUGUCCUUGUAAGACUUGCAUUGGUCAUGGUGUCUGUUCACAGCAAUAAAGCCCUAAGACAUUACUAGAAA
Rattus norvegicus (Norway rat) is the source of this 622-nucleotide long non-coding RNA. RefSeq lists it as uncharacterized. Lineage: Eukaryota; Metazoa; Chordata; Mammalia; Rodentia; Muridae. The record is from RefSeq and is a predicted model, not a curated record.